CCUUCCCAGCACCGAAAGACUGAAAAAGAAAGUAGCGGCUGAGACACACCACGGCGAGGUCACUCUGGACACAGUCCCCUGCCCCCUCGUGGCUCGCCCUUCCCCGCAGGUGUUGAUGGCCUGGUAUGGCUCCCGCGGCGACUCUCUGCUUUUUGCCUAAAGUCUAGGGCAACCAAAGAGCAGGAAAACUGCAUGAAACCUACUCGUGGAAAACCAGCUCGAUGCUGAGUCCCACCCACCGCGACCAGACUAGGGCAGGGGCAUUGAGCUUUCCAGCCGCCUAGUUGCCUUCUCAGCAGUUUCUGUGUGGAGAAAGAGACCAGGGGACAGGGACACUGGAAAAGAAAGGAAAAGGAGGGAGGGGACUCAAGGGAAAUUUAGCCGAUUUAAUUUUUUUUUUUUUUUUUUCCCCGCUGUGCACUGGUCCGGAAAAACUGUGGUUUACUGUAGUUAGAAACUCCGACAUUCCUGCUGGGAAAUUGAUGUCUGCAUGGAUGGUUUUCUUGUCCCGGUUUUCGGGUUAAAACCAAUCUACUCCUUUUGCAAAUGCAAUUCUAUGGUUGCAGAUCAUUUUCAUCUCUCCAGUAAGGUCCUGCUUCUGCUUGCUUCAGAACUUUUGGUUCUGUUUUUUGGAUGGUGUUUGUUUGUCAGUGUUAAAGAGAAGGCUGGGCAGAAUAAGACCUAUCCCCCCUCCCCUGGCCCAAAGAUGUCCUUGUUCUUACCCCUGAAAUCGGUGAGUAGGUUAUGUUACAUGGCACGUGGCAUUGGGGAAUUAAGGUUGCAGGAAGUAUUAGGAUUGUAACCACCUGACCUUGAGAUGAGACAGUUAUCCCAGAUUACCUGUGUGGGCGCAGUGUAAUCACAAGGGUCCUCGUAAAGGAAAAGAUGGAGGCAAGAGAGUUGGAGAGACUCAGGGUGAUGCGGUGUAAGAAAGACCUGAGGAGCAAUUGCUGGCUUUGAAGAUGGAAGAAGAUUAGCAGCCAAGGGAUUAGUAGCCAAGAUUAGUGCAGCUCUGUACAAGGAUGAGGCUAGAAAGCCUGUUCUCCCUGAGAUCCUCCAAGAAAGAAGCAGUUAUAUGAACACUUUGAUUCUAGCCCAGUGAGACUCACCUCAGACUUCAC
Molecule: long non-coding RNA, 1121 nt
Filed under: Sus scrofa (pig)
Lineage: Eukaryota; Metazoa; Chordata; Mammalia; Artiodactyla; Suidae
Description: lncRNA (ENSSSCG00015045067.1)
Source: RNAcentral